Molecule: microRNA precursor, 121 nt
Filed under: Xyrichtys novacula (pearly razorfish)
Lineage: Eukaryota; Metazoa; Chordata; Actinopteri; Labriformes; Labridae
Source: RNAcentral
AGGAGGGAGAGAGAGGGGAGCAGACUGAGCAUGCUCACUCUGCUCCCCUCUCUCUCUCUCCUUCAGGAGGGAGAGGGGAGCCGACUGAGCAUGCUCAGUCUGCUCCCCUCUCUCUCUCUCC